UACGAAGGGGGCUAGCGUUGUUCGGAAUUACUGGGCGUAAAGCGCACGCAGGCGGUGAUCAUAGUCAGAAGUGAAAGCCCUGGGCUCAACCCGGGGAAUUGCUUUUGAUACUGGGUCACUAGAAUCACGGAGAGGGUAGUGGAAUUCCGAGUGUAGAGGUGAAAUUCGUAGAUAUUCGGAAGAACACCAGUGGCGAAGGCGACUACCUGGCCGUCGAUUGACGCUCAUGUGCGAAAGCUGGGGAGCAAACA
RNAcentral lists this ribosomal RNA (251 nucleotides) under uncultured bacterium. RNAcentral describes it as "partial 16S ribosomal RNA". It matches the Rfam family "Bacterial small subunit ribosomal RNA", at positions 524 to 774 of the family's 1533-position model. The record is from RNAcentral.